Caenorhabditis elegans is the source of this 236-nucleotide non-coding RNA. The record is from Ensembl. Lineage: Eukaryota; Metazoa; Nematoda; Chromadorea; Rhabditida; Rhabditidae.
UUUACUUCAAAGCCAGUACAACAUUGAAAACGACCCAAUUUAUUUUCUUGCUAUGUGGUAUUUUGAUUAAUUUAGUCAUUGCUCAAUGGGGACGCCCAGUUGCGGUAUCGAGAACAGUUGUGAGACCCGGAUGGAACCCUAUUGGGCCAGUUGGUGGUGUAGGAUGGGGACCACGACCGGUUAUUGUGAGAAAUACUUGGGUUCGCGGAAAAAGAUCAAACAUGAAUGUUAAUUGA